CACACGACUCUCGGCAACGGAUAUCUCGGCUCUCGCAUCGAUGAAGAACGUAGCAAAAUGCGAUACCUGGUGUGAAUUGCAGAAUCCCGUGAACCAUCGAGUUUUUGAACGCAAGUUGCGCCCGAGGCCUUUUGGCCGAGGGCACGUCUGCCUGGGCGUCACGC
RNAcentral lists this ribosomal RNA (164 nucleotides) under Eragrostis ferruginea. RNAcentral's name for it is "5.8S ribosomal RNA". It matches the Rfam family "5.8S ribosomal RNA". Rfam says of the family: 5.8S ribosomal RNA (5.8S rRNA) is a component of the large subunit of the eukaryotic ribosome. It is transcribed by RNA polymerase I as part of the 45S precursor that also contains 18S and 28S rRNA. Lineage: Eukaryota; Viridiplantae; Streptophyta; Magnoliopsida; Poales; Poaceae. The record is from RNAcentral.